RNAcentral lists this ribosomal RNA (260 nucleotides) under uncultured bacterium. Its description in RNAcentral is "partial 16S ribosomal RNA". It matches the Rfam family "Bacterial small subunit ribosomal RNA", at positions 524 to 776 of the family's 1533-position model. The record is from RNAcentral.
UACGUAGGGUGCAAGCGUUGUCCGGAAUUAUUGGCGUAAAGAGCUCGUAGGCGGUUUGUUGCGUCGGCUGUGAAAUCCCGAGGCUCAACCUCGGGUCUGCAGUCGAUACGAGCAAACUAGAGUGUUGCAGGGGAGACUGGAAUUCCUGGUGUAGCGGUGAAAUGACGCCAGAUAUCAGGAGGGAACACCCGGUGGCGGAAGGCGGGUCUCUGGGCAAACUACUGACGCUGGAGGAGCGAAAGCGUGGGGAGCGAAACAGG